UAACAAUAAGAAAAUAAAUAAACAUUUUUUUAUUAAAAAAAAAAAGUCGCCGGAAUCCGACCACUUUUGGCCGGAAAUUUUCUUGUAUGGUGCUAAGUGCACCCAUGCUAAUACUUCGGGGUGUUUUGGCUAUUUUUCUUAGUUUAGGGUGCUGAGUGCACCCAAGCCAAAGUUCAGAGUAUUGAGGCCAAUUUUACCUUUUUUAUUUAGAUAAACAAAGGGUUUUUGCUUGUGAACUAAAUAGUACGUAGUUUAAGACUUGUUUGGUGCAAGGAUGACAUCCAUUUAUAUAACCUACAACUCUACAAGCAAUUGGUGCUGCAAUUAAAAAUGCAUCUAUUUAUCUUGCUUUUAGAAUUAUUUAUUACUAGGGUCCUAGUUAAGUAGUUUUGCUUAUUAUUUCCUUAUUAUGAGCUUUUUUUUUUUUCUUAAUAUUAAGUCCUGUGUUCGGUAUCUUUAGUAGGUUGUUGUUACAUUUGUACUUGUAGUCAAAAUUACAUUAUACAUAGUAUGACCAAGUCCCAACCAUGCUAUAUCAAUCUCUUUUUGCUUCUGCAGAUUUGUUUGGAUUUGUUAACAUUUCUUUUGUACACAGAUUUGCUACUAUUUAUGAUUUUGGGAAAAUUAGUGGUUGACUUUCAAAAUCACAUUGCAUGUAUAAUUCCCUUAGUUGGCUCACUGAGAUAAUGUUGAAAAAAAAGUGCUUGGGUUAUCUAGGACUUGGUACUGCCAUAUUAAUUCCACCUUCAGAUUUUCUUUUUUUUUUUAAAAAAAAAAAAAUUAUGAUAUAGUUUGCGACAAGUUAUAUUAUGUAUACUGAUUGUUUUUCUAUUAUUAUUAGACACCUUGGACUGAAAUGUUCAAAAAGGUUUAGCUAGUUAGUGUGCGUGAACUAUGUCAUUUCUAAUUAAUUUCUUUUUUAUUUAAAUUUUUUUUAGUCACUUCAACCUUAUUGAAAAAGGAAGGGGGAAAUGCACUAUUUAUAGAAGUUGAGCUCUAUAGAAGAAUUUGGCCUACUUUUUCUAGGUUAAGGUCAUUAUCCAAGUUUCCCGAGGCCUCUUCCCAAGUUCAGCAUUGAUUAGAAAGUCUAGUGUUCUCCAUUUGAAGAUCAAGCAUGGAGAAGUGCAAGUUCCUAAAGUCCUUGAGCUAUGAAUUCAAGCCGUGGGGGCAUGAUUUCUAGUCUUGAACCUGUAAACAUGGAGUUUAGAAAAUGCAAAGUCCCGUUUUUAUCAAGAGCAUUAAGUGAAACGCACGAGGAGCAUCGGAAUGAUAGGGAAGAAGGAUGCCCUACUCCCAAGCGCGAGCGCGCGCAACUAUGGCGCGGCUGCGCGGCCAGGUGGAGCGGGCGCGCCUGUCUGGGUCCCUAUUUUGUUCCCAGAUUUGCGUGAUCGCGCUCUCCCUUAUAGUUGGCCGCGCCUGUAUAGGUUUAUUUGGGGACGAUCUAACUAAAUUCUCUUAGUUUUACUAUAUAGAUUUUCUUUCUAUUUUUAAAAGAGGAGAAUUAGAGAAAAUUAGAGAAUUAAUUUAGAAAUUAGAAUUAGAAUUUUAGGGAGAGAAACUGUAGAUGGUAGAGAGAGAGGUUCUUGAUUGUUGAUUGAUGAUUGAAUAUUGUUAAUUCUAGCAUUUUCUCCAUUGAAUUAAAGCAAUUUUGUAA
Molecule: long non-coding RNA, 1654 nt
Organism: Chenopodium quinoa (quinoa)
Lineage: Eukaryota; Viridiplantae; Streptophyta; Magnoliopsida; Caryophyllales; Amaranthaceae
Exons: 2
Source: RefSeq, a predicted model, not a curated record